Molecule: non-coding RNA, 1425 nt
Organism: Taeniopygia guttata (zebra finch)
Lineage: Eukaryota; Metazoa; Chordata; Aves; Passeriformes; Estrildidae
Source: RefSeq, a predicted model, not a curated record
AGAGGCAGCAGUGUCAGGAGCCCUCCCUGACAGCUCCUUUCAGGAGGGGAUGCUGUGAGGAGCUGUCAGGCUCUGAGUCAGCUGUUCUUCCAGGGCUGGCAUUCCAGGCAGGAAGAGCCUGCUGGAAGAACCAUCCCAACCACGAAGAACCAUCCCAACCACGCCGCCUGCCAAAACCACACUGGGAAUCCCAUGGGAACCAGCCGCCUCCCGAGCCAGCUGGUACUUCCUGCUCCCGAGGCCUGAUCCUGCUCUGGAUGCUGAGCAUUCUUCGUUCCAUUUUUAAAUUAAUGAGGCUUGAGCAAUGCAUGGUCCCAGACCCCGGGGGAAGAAACAGCCCCUCGGUGUUUUCAGCACUUUGGCCGUGUGGCCCAGCUGGAGAGGAGAGGGAAAUGUCAGGUUUGAAGGGAGAUCCGAGAGAUGCCUGAAAACAGAUCCGUAACCUGGAGAUUUUAGCCAGGUUCUCCGAGCUGGCCAUGCUCCCACACACAGCUCUCCUCCCCAGCACGGGCUGUGACUCCCAAAACUGGCAGCCCCAUCUCUGCAGAGAAGGAUGAGGAUCACCAGCGUGGGACUGGCUCCCAUCCUAUCCCAACAGUGUCCCCUUGAGGUUGGUGGCUGAGGCAGCCUGGGAAGAGCUCUCACGGAGGUGCAGGGGAACCCCAGAAGCUGCUCUUGUUUUCCAACCAACAAAUCCCAGCAGCUGCGGAUCAGCCUGAGUGAAGGAUGCUGGAGGAGCCCACCCCACAGGGGGUGUGGGACCUCCACACCUGGGAGUGGAGCACUUGGAGACCACUCAGGAAUACCUUGGAUGUCUAAGCUGCUGCAGCGAGCUAAUUCCUCCAGGUGACUCCAGGCAGCGAUCAGUGGGCUCCUGCACAGCGAGGGGGUUUGAAGUGCCAGAGCUGAAAGCGCUCCCAACUCCGGCACGCCAGGCCUCCAGCAGGGGACACAGCCUCAGAUGUCACAGCACGGUGGCAGGAGGGGCUGGGGCCUCUGGAGCUGUCAUUUCCAACCUGCAUUUCCAACUGGGGGAGCCAAGGCAAAGGGAGGGGGACCAGGCACGGGCCUGAGAUGCCCUGUGCCCCCAGGGAAGUGGGCUCUGGUUGAAGGAUAUUGGGGGAAAAGAUAUUUGGGAGGCAUUGGGGAAUAAAAAUCAGCGCCCUGAAGGGAUAAAUGUUGAGAAUUGUCAGUGCUGGCCUCUGGGAUAGGUGUGUACCUGGCUGCACUGCGUGUCCCAGCCCUGGCAGAGCAGCAGAUUUGCAUCUGAACUCCUUCCUCUGGUGUGGAAGAUGAACACGAGGCGUAUUCAAAGGCAAGGAGGUGCCCAAGAGAAGCCCAAAACCAAUGAGAGAAGGAUUUACAGUAGGAUGGCUCUUAUCAUAUGUACACAAUAUUAAAUAUAGCAUUCUUUCCUCUGACAAA